AGCUCCAAUAGCGUAUAUUAAAGUUGUUGCGGUUAAAAAGCUCGUAGUUGGAUUUUUGGCGUGAUGGAGGGGUCCGGUAAAUCCGCGUACCCGAUCUGUCGAGUCAUUUGUCGGGGGGUGCGGGGUAUGCUUGAUUGUGUGCCUGCGGUGCCCUCAUGACGACUACUUUGAACAAAUUAGAGUGUUUAAAGCAGGCCGUAGUGCCGUGAAUACAUUAGCAUGGAAUAGCGUAUAGGACUUUGGUUCUAUUUUGUUGGUUUUAAGGACCGAAGUAAUGAUUAAUAGGGACAGUUGGGGGCAUUAGUAUUUCGUAGUCAGAGGUGAAAUUCUUAGAUUUACGAAAGACUAACUUCUGCGAAAGCAUUUGUCAAGGAUGUUUUCAUUAAUCAAGAACGAAAGU
RNAcentral lists this ribosomal RNA (400 nucleotides) under phytoplankton environmental sample. Its description in RNAcentral is "partial small subunit ribosomal RNA". It matches the Rfam family "Eukaryotic small subunit ribosomal RNA", at positions 587 to 990 of the family's 1831-position model. The record is from RNAcentral.